UGCCAGGGUGAACUCUCCCCUUGCUGCCACUACUCCCUGCUCAGUCCCCCACAGCCCUGGGUUCAUUCCAGGCCUGGUGCUGCAGCCGAGGCUGCUGCCAUCUGCGGCAAAGGCACCCGAUCCACUCACCGGGGCUGUAAUCAGCUGUGACCCUCAACUGCUGCCCCAGCACAUGGGGGCCAGGAUCUCCCCUGGCUCGGUGUUUGGAUUGGGACUAAACCCCUAGGUUUGCAGAAAAGCACCAAGGAGACGGGUGGGAAGCCUCGCUGCUAGGGCACCCCUGAGCCUGGGAAGAAGCCUCAUAUAUGGUCCAUAGCCAUAGCACAGUGCGCUCUGCCCCCUAUGGGCUCCGGGGAGCAGAGAAUAGGCACAGCACAGUGUGCCCCAGCCAUGCCCCCGAUCCUCCGCCAUGGGUCCUGGAGAGCAGAGAAUAGGCACAGUGCCUGAUGCUCUAGCCUGGUCCCCAAUCUGCCCUGAUUGGCCCCAGGGUGCUGAGAAUAGCCACAGCGCAGGGUACUACGGCCAUGCCCCGAACCACCCCCUUCAACAGGCGGCCGGCAUGGUGGGUGUAGGGCCCUUACAACAGCUCCAGGCUGGCUGGGGAGGCCCCUGCACAGGAUGGGGGGAUUGUCAGAGACCAUUACGCUGCCACAGUGGCCCAGCAGGGCCUCGGUGUAGCUGUGAAUCUGACCUUUGACUGUUUAAUACUCAGGACACCGGUCACCUGGGUCCUGGGACUCCCGUUGCGCAGGUCAUUACAGCUCCCGGAUUCGCGGCUGCCCCGUGUCUCAACCGUCCGGCCAGGUCAUGCUGUGAUCCCCAUUCUGGGGGAGCCUUUCAAAGUCAGACCCCUCUCUCCUAUGCCUGCUAGUGAAACCCUUCCUCUGGAGCUCCUAGCCCCCCUUGCCUCAGGGCCCCACCAUCGGGCCCAGCCCUCGGGCUGUAGAGAAUCCCCACCUGUCCCCUCCCAGGCAAGCUUCCUUCUAGCUAGUGCCCUGCACGCAGCCUAAGUCACUUUCCCUUUGCAGCUUAACUGACAGAUAUGGCCCCCCCUUAACCCCAUUCUGUCAGGGCUAAUGCAGGGAGGGGCUCGCAGGGUCAUGGUCUGGAUAAUAUUUGGUCCCCAGUCUGGGAUGGGGUGGGAGGCAUUGUGCUGCAGGGAUUGGGGCCCUGCAAAUAGCAGGGAAGAAAGGAGAAUAAAAUGAGGGGGAGGGUAGAUGGAGCAGACAGACUGACUGACAGACCACGUCCCCUGCAAUGGGUUGGGGGUGUCUCCAUGGUCAUUCGCCCCCAGUGCGCCCCCUGCCCUGCUAUGUGUGACCCCCUCCCACCCUGCUGUCCCUUCUUAGACAUUGAUGAAUGCUGCAAGAUCUCAGAUAUCUGCAGUCCCAAGGUCAUGUGUAUCAACACCAAUGGGAGCUACUGGUGUAAGUGCCGGGCUGGCUACGUCCCCUCCAACAGGAACACAACCCUGUGCCAAGGUGGGUCCUGCCACGAAGGGCAUGGAGGAGCAUCUGAGGGGGCUGAGCAGAGUCUGAAGCUACAUAGGCAGAGGUCUUGCCCGAGAGGGCAGGGAGCUGAGAACAGGUCUGGCAUGUCUCACCAGGCCCCCUGCUCCCCAUGGACGGGGUCCCUCUGAGUCUCAACCCUAGCUGGGGAGGGCUCAUCCUCAAAGCCCUCACCUCUCUCCAGCCCAGCCUGUCCGUCCACUGGGGUGUUUCCAGUUGUCUCAGAGCCACAGCCACCAGCGUGCUCAUGUCUGGCUUGGAGAGCGGAGGGAUUCUCCCCUCCCUCCAUACAGGAAGGCGAUUCUGGAAGCAGAAUGACUGUACCCAAUUGGGCGAGGAAUGUGGGUGAGGCUAACACCAAUUAAGAUGCCUGUACACCAAGGCAAGGAGGCUGGGUAACAAAAUGGAGGAACUAGAGCUACUGCUGCAGGAAGUGAAACCAGAUACUGUAGGGAUAACAGAAACCUGGUGGAACAGACAUGGCUGGAGUCCAGGGAUUGAAGGGUAUGUGCUGUUCAGGAAAGACAGGAACAAAGGCAAAGAAGAAAACCCUUGAGUCAUCAGUUUACCCAUAAACAAAGCUAGUGUUCUCCCUUGAACCAUUGUAUUUUCUCUACAACUCCCUCCCCUACCUAUGCCCAAGUAAGGGUUCUGAUGUAUAGACCCAAACUCUGCAUCAGUUCCACUGGGAUUCCAUCUCCUGACUGAUUGGGCUGGGGGCUCUGCCUGUCUCCAGCACUCAGGACCCUGAGCUACCGCCAUCACUUGGGAACUCCGACCAGUUCAAACCUUAUGGAGUGGGUGAGGUCCAUCCCUCUCUCUCUGUUUUCUUUUCUACCUCAGGUAUUAACCUUUAAAAUGUAACUGUUAUGUUUGUUUAGCCCUCCUGAUGUAGUUAUCACUAAGAUUCAAUAAAUAACCUCUAUGGUUCAGCUGGUAGCUUCUCUCUCUCUAAAUUUUAAUCUUUUGUGUUUUAGCUUCCCCCAUUUACUCUGCAGCGAUGCUUCUUGUAUCUAAGCUAAAGAUCCCUGUAGUGCCCCAAAAAUACUGUGAGGUUUGCUCAUCAAGUGGGUUACUACCAGUUCAAUUGUAAUGUGAAAAUGGGAUAGAGAUGUGUUAAACUUGGGGAACAUGGGGGUGGGGGGAGAGAGCUGAAAGUGCUGCUCAGCCAAGCUGAGUGAAUAGAGGAACGCAUGAGGGGAUCAGCUGGAGAGUCGUGAUUGACCUGGUCCUCUCAGACUUGCUCUGCUAGCGUGUGUGUGCACAUGUUCAUCUAGUUCUAGGGCUGGAGGAACCGAGCCCUGGGGAUCCUAGGUCCUGCAGGGUAGCUCCAUUGGGAGGGGACUUGCAGAAGGAAGGAGCAGAGCUCCAUAUGAACACACAAGCGACUUUCACAGCACGUUGAUAGAAUUACAGAACCCCUCCCCCAGAAGAGUAACCCUGAUAAAUGAGCCAACCGCCAAAGUGACGGGCACAUCUGGGAACAGCAUACAAAAAGCCCUUUUCCUUCCUCAGGAAAGCUGGAUCCCAGGCAUGUUGGUUAAUGCUGCUGGGAGAUUGCUUUAGGUGAAAAACUGCUGUAAUAAUUGAUUUUAGACGCUAAGAAGCAUAUUAUGAUUUUCAUUUUAUAUGUAACCAGUUCUGUUUCCAUGAUCUUGACUCGGUACCUCUUAAAUCUUAAUCUUUGAUAAUAAAUUUAGGAUUAUUCCACUAUA
Long non-coding RNA from Gopherus evgoodei (Goodes thornscrub tortoise), 3223 nucleotides. RefSeq lists it as uncharacterized. Lineage: Eukaryota; Metazoa; Chordata; Testudines; Testudinidae. The transcript has 2 exons. The record is from RefSeq and is a predicted model, not a curated record.